UUCUUUACCAGUCUGUGUAUGUAUAACAAGCCAAACAAACAACAGCAAUGGUAACAACAGCAAACAAAAACAGAAAACCCAAUAAACAGUCUCUUCCCAUUCUUUAAGCAAUUUCCCCUUUGGUGUAGUUACGGUCACAGCUGGCAGGGCAGGUGCGAUGACUCCCCCACGGCUGCAGGAGGCACUGUGGUGCGAGUUUCGGCCGUCUCCACGUGGACAAUGGCGGACGGGCUCAGCAGAAGGAGAGUGAAUGUGUGUUUUUCACAAUGACGAAAAAGACAGUCUCUUUGUUGCUGGAACUGUUGGAACAGUCUCUCUACAGCCAAGAUGCAGGCCCGUAGGGAGGAAGAGAGAUUCUCUUCAAAUUGCUGGAAUUGGCUGGCCAGUCCAGACAGUUGUGUAAUAUAUAGUAGAGAUAAUUCAUGCUAUAUAUGUGUAUAAAAUAUUGUAAGAUCCAACUUAUGUCUUUGGCCACCCUGGCUGGGAGCAGAGUCUUAUUUCUAUUCAAUUAGUUCCUGGACAUCGUUAAGAUAAUAUCAAGUCUGUUAACGUAAGAAUGAAACCUUCCUGGGCCAUGGGGCCAUGAGUGCCGACUUCCCAGGAAUGUCUGAGCUGCUCACGAGGACUUGCACCUGGGGAGAUUGCAUCUACCAACUCAAGCACUGGGCGCCACUCUGUUACAUGUGAAAGAAGGCUAUUCCGAAGAAGUUCAGACAGCCAUCCGGACAUCUGGACUGGCUUUUGUAUAUUUUUGCAUCUGUAUGGUCCCAGUUAUACAUGUGAAGGGACACAAAAGAACCUUCUGUCAUUUCUGCCUCAGGCAGAAUAAACGGGAUAUAAGCUGGCGGCAUGAAGCAGUCGGGGUGAACCGCUAAGGAGACGCUGACACUCUGUCAGUCGGAUCCAGGUUCACCCAGCGCCGACUUCUGGGGUUGACGCUGCCUUGGCUGUGGUGGUUUUUCGAAAUUCUAUUUUUGUUGUCGAUCUAAUAAAUCUUUGUUAAAUUUUUUAUAAA
Haemorhous mexicanus (house finch) is the source of this 1015-nucleotide long non-coding RNA. RefSeq lists it as uncharacterized. NCBI's taxonomy places the organism in Eukaryota, Metazoa, Chordata, Aves, Passeriformes, Fringillidae. The record is from RefSeq and is a predicted model, not a curated record. The transcript is spliced from 2 exons.